RNAcentral lists this ribosomal RNA (200 nucleotides) under uncultured bacterium. RNAcentral's name for it is "partial 16S ribosomal RNA". It matches the Rfam family "Bacterial small subunit ribosomal RNA", at positions 28 to 257 of the family's 1533-position model. The record is from RNAcentral.
GAUGAACGCUGGCGGCGUGCCUAAGACAUGCAAGUCGAGUGGGUUUAGGCCCACGGCGAACGGGUGAGUAAUAUCUAGGAACUUUUUUCAAGUCGAGGAUAUCCUUCCGAAAGGAAGUGCAAUACUUGAUGUGGAACGCAAGUCUAAAAGUCGCAAGACGCUUGAAGCAAGGCCUGGACACCAUCAGCUAGUUGGUAAGG